Molecule: ribosomal RNA, 361 nt
Filed under: uncultured bacterium
Lineage: Bacteria
Description: partial 16S ribosomal RNA
Rfam family: Bacterial small subunit ribosomal RNA
Source: RNAcentral
CCUACGGGGCGCAGCAGUGGGGAAUAUUGCGCAAUGGGCGAAAGCCUGACGCAGCGACGCCGCGUGAGGGAUGAAGGUCUUCGGAUCGUAAACCUCUGUCAGCAGGGAAGAACGGUCACUGUGCUAAUCAGCAGUGAAUUGACGGUACCUGCAAAGGAAGCACCGGCUAACUCCGUGCCAGCAGCCGCGGUAAUACGGAGGGUGCGAGCGUUAAUCGGAAUUACUGGGCGGAAAGCGCUCGUAGGCGGGAUGUCAAGUCAAGGGUGAAAUCCCCGCGGCUAAAGUGGGAACUGCCCUUGAAACUGGCAAACUGGAGUGUGUAAGAGGAUAAGUGAAAUCCAGGUGUAGGAGUUAAAUCCGU